Triticum aestivum (bread wheat) is the source of this 4494-nucleotide long non-coding RNA. RefSeq lists it as uncharacterized. The transcript has 7 exons. The record is from RefSeq and is a predicted model, not a curated record. Lineage: Eukaryota; Viridiplantae; Streptophyta; Magnoliopsida; Poales; Poaceae.
ACGGACAGCGUGUUGUGCGCGUUUGGCUGGAAAAGAGGGGUGGGUCGCUGCGAUCGUGGGCUGCAGGGCGUCCAACGUGAGGGGAUAGACUUUUGUCACUCCGCUUGCCUGCACCCGGCUGCGUCUCCUCCGCUUCAGUCGGGUUGGGCCCACUCAUCAUGUCCUGGGUAGGAGAUUUUGCUCUGUGUGCGUCCUGGGUGAGAGAAAGGGGAGACGUGGGUGGAUCGUGCUGCGCAGUAAAAACCUAGCCACCAAUCCCCGCGUCUCCGAGCAGCCAAUCCAGCCCCGCCUCCGUCCUCCCCAUCUCUCCACUGCGCCGCCUCCUCCUCCCCUUCACUUUUCUCUCCGGCGGCGGCACCAUAGAAGGCGCACACGGGCGGUGGAUCCAUGCCGGUGAAGAGCAGCGGCGGCGGCGCCAUAGAAGGCGCACACAGGCGAUGGAUCCGUGCCGGUGAAGAGUGGUGAAGAGCGGCGGGGACUGCGCUCUGGUCACGGUGGGGUGCAGCCGCGAGGAAGACGUAGGAGGUCCGCCGCCUGUCUUCGCCUCCUCGCCGCGUCCUUGCUGCCUCCAUGGCCAACCGCACGUUUUUUUCUCUGUCCCUCCAUGGCGCUCGUUGCCGGCCGGAUCUUAAUGAACAGGUGACCACCAUGGCGCUUGCUGCUAGCCAUUAAGGAACAAGUGACCCGGGGCAAUAUCCAGUGUGCUGGCUGCGGCGGUGGUCCGUUCCUGAAAUUGGCAAGGAGGGGUAGAUCCUGCGGCUGUGUUUCCAGUGUGCUGGCUGCGGCGGAGGUCCGUUCCUGAACAUGAUCACAAAGUCCCACCUCCUGGCCAUCGCAAGCGGGAAGAGGCCGUCAAGGGAAGCCGACCUGCAGCUACCACGCUCCACGACGCCCUCCCCAAUCAGAGUCCUCUUCUUCCUCACUCAUGCCCUGCCGCGUCGCCGCCCUAGCCACUUCUUCACAGGACAACGGUGGGCCGUCGCGGUUUGCGGCGAACAUCGUUGGGUGCACCCCUGCCGGAUCCAGCCUUUGCUAUUCGCCUACCACCGGCAGGUUGCAAUUCUAGCCAUGGAUAGUCACGAGUGUUCAAUGAUGUAAAUCUACCUGAUAUAUUGUUGAUGGGAAUUAAGUCUAAUGUAGAGUGAUCUAUCUACUACUAGGCAGAUUUCUUUGUAUAAAACAUACAAAUUGUUGCUUUAUAUUCUGAAAUCUUAUUUCUCGGUGUUCAACUGCAGACUAAGUUCAGAUUGUCUUCGUUCCAGAAAUGAAGCAGGUAAUGCUAUAACCUCAGCAGUGUAUGGUCUAGAUUUCGUAAAGAAGGCCGUCUAAUAUUUUACUUAGGUUCAUUCAAAUAUCUUUAUUUGACAUGCAUGUAUUUCUUGUGUGUGCACACUCUCUUAGUUCUAUAUCUCUUUGAUAUGAAUUACUAGCAGACAAAAUUUUCAUGCUUUGAGGUAUUAUCGAUAUUCACUAUUUAAGACGUCAGUUGCCAGCUUAUAUUCUUUUAAAAUUUUAGUGCUGAGCUUGGCUUCUGUUUUAGGAUACAGUUAUGGUACCAUAUGCUCAUUGGUUUCCAUCUGAUUCCUCUUUUUGACAUGGACAUAUACCAUGUGGUAUAAUAUUUAAGAAGAAUGGCUUGGAAAAUUCAAAUAGAUGGUUACUCUUACCCGUAGUUUCUUUGGGAUGCUGAUAGCGUCUAGAGAUGCCUUCUAAUCAAUAAAAGUAAGAUCUGAUCAUGCGCUAUAUGUUGAUUCUCUUACAUAUGUAUUACGAGAAAAUUAAGGCACACAUGUUGAUAUUGGACUGAUGACCUUUCUUCUUCUCAUAUUUUUUAUUAUCUUACCGAUCAACCUCAGAUAGUGCCGGCAAUUGUGCAAAGUAGUUUGCACAUUAGAGGUUUGGUAUGGGAUUCUGAAGAAAACAUUAGCCCUUAUGAUGCCCCAACUUUGUGGCUAUUGCAGCUAUUGUGGCAAGGCACACAUCAUCGUCGUUUCAUAUUGAUAUCCUGAUAUUUUCUUCAGUUUGCUAUUGGCAAAAAUUCUAUAUCCCUGGUUGCUCUCCACAUAUUUCUCCGCAGUGAUAGAAUUUGCAAUCUGGUGUGGCCUUGCGCUCCUACUAUUCUGCUGAAGAAUGAUCAGCAAAUGCAGUGGAUUUGGAGCUGAGCUAUUACUGAAUAUUCACGUCAUCUGUAUUAAUCAGAGGUUACUAAGAUUAGAUGUUGAUUGAUCUGUUCUCUACCCAUGAGGCAGUGGAGAAGAAAGACAACUCUAGGUAUGUAUCCACCAUGCUCUCAUCUCAUGUAAGUGGCGACCUUUUCUUAGUCACAGUGAGUUUGAGGCUUUAACCCCUAUCCUUGCUAGCUGAAACUGGUUUCUUGUUGAAUAAUGCUCAUCGCUCUGUUUUAGGAUGUGACAGCAUACCUUUGUGUUAUUUGGACAUUUUAGAGGGAAAUGCAGCCUUUGUAUAGGUCCGCAUCUUUAGAUUUUGUAACAAAAUAUGUUUAUAAUUUAUACAACUUUUUCUACUAAUAAAAAAUGGUGCUAGCUACAAGCUGCUUGAAAAAAUGUCUAGGAUUUAGGGUCUUAGCAAAAAAACAUGCUCUUUGCUAUGUUUAGGUGGCCACAUCAGUGGUAUGCACAUUGUGGCUCUGGUAAUUACAUACACUCACUUUCUUUUGCAAAAUGUGCAGAUAGUCUAAUGUACACACUAGAUUUUAUCAAUUGACUAAUUCAUGAUUUCACAUUACUAGGCUUCUUGAUUUCAGUACGCAAGAUUGUACCGACGAAAAGAAUCUACUUUGAAUUACUUUACUUGUUAUAAUUAAUGUACGUGGUAAGAUGAGAUUUCUGUCACUCUUUGGGUUGUAAGCAUUAUGUGCAAGUUGGGUGUUCAGUGUACUGCUUGAUGCUCCAUAUUGCAUCACACUGCCUCGAGCAGAAGGACUAAAAUUUGUUUUUGGUUCAUCAUGAAGGAUUGCUGAUGAAGCCAUUGUUUUAGAGUUGGUAAUCAUGUGGCACUAGAUAUGAUGGAGGCACUAAUUAACUUAGUGCUACUAUGAACAUUCUUAUACGAGAUUUUGGAUAUUAGAGUUAAGAAGGUACACAUUCUUCCAAAAUUGCAAAAAGUGAAGCAAGUGUAGAGUGAAAAAAUAGCAGCCAAUAAGGUUGACAACCAAAGUUCUUGCUAUGAUUCAGGCUUGGCUAUUAGCAAAGUAGUGCUAGGUCAUCGCCGUUCGUUCUUACUCUAUUUUCUCGAGUCUUUGGUUUCUCUUUAUUCACUUUUCACUUUCUAUUUUCAUUAUCACUAUCCAUUUGGUAUCUUGGUUUCUCUUUGUUUAGUCUCCACCCUCUUUCUCCGGUACCUAUUUUUUUCAUUUGUAUGUCUAAGUUAAGAAUGAGAGGCUAGAUAAACAAACAGGAAAAUGCUCAGUUUGUUCAGGCCUUAGGGAUGCAUUCCAUCAUCACUGUCCAUCAACAAGUUCAACUCCGACAAUGGUUCACCGAUAAUGUGGGCCGGUGCACCACGUCAGCAACGUCGACGGCCUGACAGGCCAUUUUCCAACUGGGCCUAUUGUAAAUGACGAGACCAUGAGGAUGUAAUCAGUAAUGUUGCUCCUGAAAAUGAAGAUGUACUUUGCCGUUCCACUAAUCUCGGCAAAAGAGUAGAUUAUGGUGCUCCUUGUGCUAUAGUGGAAUUGAAUCACAAAAAAUUCUAUAAAUUCAUCAAACAAUGAAGGAGGUUAGUUUUUACCUGAGCGGCAACGGCGGCCACCAUGGUCUUGCUGGAGCCUCGCUUGCAGUCGAAAGUCAUCAGCUUCAGGGAGUGUCGGCACAGCCAGAAUAGACGCCACCUUCAGCGGGGAGCAACAGCAGCAACUGCGAGGAUUUGGCUCGCCGAUACGAGCAACGGCGGCGCCAUACCCCCUUCCGCAGCUCCGAGCUGCUGGUCCGCCGAGAUGCAGAUGGAGCCGACGAGCCGUUGCGCCUCCAAGCUACCGGGCCACCGAGAUGCAGAUGUAGUCGCAGCGCCUCUGAGCUGCAGCGAGAGCUGCUCCGCCGCCAAGCUGCAGCGUGAGCGGCCGUGAAAAUGGAGCCGAGCUUUCUCUCCAGUACGAGUACAGUGGGAGAGGGAACGAAUCCAAUGAACUGAUCGAUGGAACCAAGACCAACAGUCAACCACGUGGUGAUCUCUAUGCUAUAUGCGCCACGCGUGUGUAUAGGUGUCCAGAAUGCGUGGUUCUCUGUCACAGUGGCACAAUUGUAAUUUUAUUUUGGUGCUAAUUUGUAGCACUUUUAUGAUCUGUACUGUUUUGUCUGAUAUAUUCCAACAACUAUUCUUAGAAUAUAAGAGCCGCCUGCAGACGCCCUGCUCGUCCGCGGACAGUAAUUAGCCAGCACAAAAAAAUUGUAUUCAUGAUCAUAUACCUCAUUUGUAAAUCAUCAAACCCAUGCAAUUACAUGUAACUAAACUACUCUAAAUUUUUGCCGGCGACAA